CUUAGAUUGCUGUCAAAGAAGGAGAUCGUUGAAGGAGCCUGGUCUGCCAUACAGCCCAAAUACAUGGUCUUCCAUACAGCCCAUAUCAGUAGCUCCGGGAGAGAAACCUCUUGUGCAUGAAUCUCAUAGCAGACAGGAACCAGAAACUCCUUCUGAUUUUGUCGGCAGAGGAGCCUUGAGCCAGCCCUGUGGACCUGUGUGUUCAGAUUGCAAUGAAGACAACAGCACCCAGGCACCAGAUUUAUUCUUCUUUCCAAGCUUGACCCAAGAAUUGAGAGCUACAGGAAGGCAAGGCUAAGGAAAACAACUCUAAUCAGAAUUCUUCAGACAUUGGUGUGAAAGCAGAACAGCUCUGCACCCACCAGACAAAUAAUGCGAAAAAGGAUUCGUUUUCACAAAAGACAUUAUGCAUGUCUGAGAAAACUCACUUCCUGAGUGUUCUCUGAAGCAAAUCUACGGAGUGAUUAUCAGCCUGCUCAGUGGACAAGCUGUGGAGGUGAGUUAUGCCAAACAUUUCACCGGAGCUACAAGACAAUAGUUAUGGAA
This 546-nucleotide long non-coding RNA is filed under the name Coturnix japonica (Japanese quail). RNAcentral describes it as "lncRNA (ENSCJPG00005018072.1)". The record is from RNAcentral. Lineage: Eukaryota; Metazoa; Chordata; Aves; Galliformes; Phasianidae.